This is a long non-coding RNA of Cyprinus carpio carpio, 2427 nucleotides long. NCBI's taxonomy places the organism in Eukaryota, Metazoa, Chordata, Actinopteri, Cypriniformes, Cyprinidae. The record is from Ensembl.
AAAGACCAGAACACCCUAAAACAGCCUAGAAAUCACUUUGAACAUUGUAACAACCACCUAGAACACCAAAGCAAUUGCAUAGAUGCACCCUAGCAACUACCUACAACAAUCUACUGUAGCAAAGACCAAGAGCAUACUAGCAACUACAUAGAAAUGCCCUAGCAACUACCUAAAACACAAACAUACACCAAGAGCAUCCUAACAAAUACAUAUCAAUGCCCUAGUAACUACCUACAACAAUCUACUAUAGCAAAGACCAGAACACCCUAAAACAGCCUAGAAAUCACUUUGAACAUUGUAACAACCACCUAGAACACCAAAGCAAUUGCAUAGAUGCACCCUAGCAACUACCUACAACAAUCUACUGUAGCAAAGACCAAGAGCAUACUAGCAACUACAUAGAAAUGCCCUAGCAACUACCUAAAACACAAACAUACACCAAGAGCAUCCUAACAAAUACAUAUCAAUGCCCUAGUAACUACCUACAACAAUCUACUAUAGCAAAGACCAAGACACAAGAGCAUCCUAGCAACUGCAUAGAAACGCCUUGGCAACUACCUAAAAUACUAACAAACACCAAGAGCAUCAUAGAAACAGCCUAGAAACCACUUUGAACAUCUUAGUAACCAUCCAAAACACUGUGGCAAGUUAGCAACUGCAUAGAAACACCAUAGCAACUAACUAAAACAACCUACUGUAGCAAAGACCAUGAACAGCCUAGAAACAGCCUAGAAACCACUUUGAACAUCAUAGCAACCACCCUAAACACCAUAGAAACUAUAUGGAAAUGCCCUAGCAAUUACUGUACCUACAACAAUCUACUGUAGCAAAGACCAAGAGCAUCCUAGCAACGGCAUAGAAAUGCCCUAGCAACCACCUUAAACACAAACAAACACCAAGAGCAUCCUAGCAAAGGCUCAGAAACCACUUGCUACAAUGUAGCAAUCACUAAGAACAUCAUAGCAACUGCCUAGAUACGUCCUAGCACCACUAGGAACAUUAUAACCACCCAGAAUGCUAUGGAAACCACCUAAAAUACCCUAGCAACACCAGAGCAAACCUAGUCUGCCUGUAAUGACCUUCAACUUUUGUCAAGCUAACUAUCUCUUUGAGUUCAAGUUCAGAUACUUGUAAGCAUGUACUGAUGUGAAAAUGAGCAUUUAAUGUUCAGCCAAGAAGAGAAACAGUGGAAUUGUUGUCCCUAAUUGGUUAAUGUCUAUUUUUCAAACCCACCCAAUUUGAACUUUGGUAGAGAGAGGAAGAUGAAGGUCCUACGCCAAUUCUCACACGAGUAUGAAUGAAAGCUAUAGUGUCUAGUGUGGCCGCCCCUCGAACGGAUGAAAUAUUGACUCAUUGACUCCUACAGAUGGGUCACACGGAGGUCAGGGUUUGCUUAGGUUGAAUCUGUGCCUUGGGCCUGGUCUUGAAGCUCCGCUAACAGCUCGGCCCUCCGUUCUGCACCUCCACUGCCGCAUCACGGAGCAAGUAGAGCUGAAACUCAAUGCUGUGCAUUAGGGCCAAGAGACCCCCAGAACAAGCACUUUCCUCUUCAGUGACGCCUCAAGGGCAUCGGCUGACCUUUUUCCGCUUUGUCUGCAUCUGAGGGUCUUUGUCUCCACUCCUGAAGCUAUGGGCUAACAGUGCUGGGACAAUAAAAUAAAAAAAAAUAAAAAAGCUCCAGUGAAUCUCCAACAUGGAAGACAGUGGAUAUCCACAGUGUUUGUGCUCAGCAAACAUUCUGGUGUGUAUUUAUUUUAACCUCUUUUUCCUCGGUAUUAAACUGCCAUUAAUUCAUACCAUUUAUACUUUAUUUUCUAGAUCUUUUCAGUCUUGAGAGUGCUUCUGUUUUUGGGUUUUGUAACAUUUAUACUUUUUAAGAUAAUUAAGAUUGAAGUUUGAAAUUGCUCUUUUGACUUUGUUCGCCAUUGAAAAUGAAUGUGUUGAUGUCAAACUGAAUAGCAGUUGAUCUUUGUUAUUUUUUUAAUUUGCGUACUGAAUUAUUAUUGGUGUAAGAUUGUGUUAUUGACUGGGUUGUUGAGUGAAAUAUUGAGUUAUGUUGUUCAACUGAUUAAAGAGUGGGUACACUAGAUAAUAAGCAUGCAAAAUUAUUACAGAAAUAUUUUAGAAGGAAUAUGGGCAACAGGAUGUGAUGUCAUGGUCCAGUGCUUUUGUUUUUAAAAAUAAAUAAAUUAUAAAUAAUAUUAAUAAAUUUGAAAUGUUAUAAUAUCAUUUGCUUCAUCUUGCCUAUGUACAUAUUGAAUUGUUUUUGUUUCAUGCAUCUCUAUAUUAGGUUUUUUGAAAUAAGUCUCUUCUGCUCACCAAGGCUGCAUUUAUUUGAUCAGAAAAACAGUAAAAUUGUGAAAUAUUAUUGCGAUUUAAAACAGCUGUUUUCUAUUUGAAUAUCUGUUAAAACGUAAUUUAUUCCUG